GUGAGAGGAAAGAGGAGCAGAUCAGCCUCCACCCAACAGCUCUGGACAAAACAACCUUUAGAGACAGGUUUAACUUUGUUCACAGAUAUUAAUGUGUUCUCAAGUUGGAUUUCCGUCAAGAUCAUGGACAGGUUGCGCUUAAGAACAGGGAGAAGAGUACCUCCACACGAUUUUGAUGCUGGGAAUAAUGAAAAUGAUUUUGGACAAAGAGGGAGGCCAGGAGGAAGUCCAAGGGGAGAGAACUUGAGAGGACAAGAGGGCAGAAGGGGGA
Molecule: long non-coding RNA, 271 nt
Organism: Cololabis saira (Pacific saury)
Lineage: Eukaryota; Metazoa; Chordata; Actinopteri; Beloniformes; Belonidae
Exons: 3
Source: RefSeq, a predicted model, not a curated record